RNAcentral lists this long non-coding RNA (574 nucleotides) under Arabidopsis lyrata. Its description in RNAcentral is "long non-coding RNA (ALYR_LNC001357)". Lineage: Eukaryota; Viridiplantae; Streptophyta; Magnoliopsida; Brassicales; Brassicaceae. The record is from RNAcentral.
UGGAUAACUAUUCGAUUAACAUAUUAACAAGUAUUUUAUCCAAAUCAGAAAUCAAAUAAGAGAAAGAAAAACCUGAAAUAAUCUACUGGGUUUUUUAAUUUCCUCGUCACAACUCUCUUUACCGUCUUUGGGAUGCUUCAACUCUCUUGUUAAUCGUUAAGUUAUAACUUAUCGUCCCCAUUGAUAUUUCUCAUGACGUGAUAUUCCACAUAUCAUCUUCACCACCAUCAUCAUUAAUAUCUUCCCCGCCACUGUUACGAGCUCACCCUGAAAUUGGAAACACCACCACUUACAAACUACUUUUACCAGUAAUUGAGAUGUUUUGUUACCAGAAUAUUUUGGUUGAAUCAAUCUCAAAACUUUGAAAAUCCCAUUUAUAUCAAUUGCGAUGUUUUGUUACCAGAAAAUUGUAAGUGAAGCCGUGGAUGAAAAUAAGCUACGUAACGGUCGGAGCUCCAAUCAUCUUCGUCGUCAUCGCCUCUGUAUUUAGUAAACCACCACCGUCAAAAGUGAAUCAGACAAUUCACCAAUUUGCUUUUCCAGCAAGCUUUGAUUUCAAUAUCUUUUAUUCGAU